Molecule: ribosomal RNA, 611 nt
Filed under: uncultured archaeon
Lineage: Archaea
Description: bacterial SSU rRNA
Rfam family: Archaeal small subunit ribosomal RNA
Source: RNAcentral
GAUCACUGCUAUUGGGGUCCGACUAAGCCAUGCGAGUCGAGAGGGUUCGGCCCUCGGCAAACGGCUCAGUAACACGUGGGUAAUCUGCCCUCAGGACAGGGAUAACCCCGGAAAACUGGGGAUAAUACCUGACAGGUGGGUAUGUCUGGAAUGACUUUCCGCUCAAAUGCUCCGGCGCCUGAGGAUGGGCCUGCGACCGAUUAGGUUGUUGGCGGUGUAAUGGACCACCAAGCCUGCGAUCGGUACGGGCGUUGAGAGACGUAGCCCGGAGAUGGGGACUGAGACACGGCCCCAGGCCCUACGGGGCGCAGCAGGCGCGAAAACUCCGCAAUACACGAAAGUGUGACGGGGGGACCCCAAGUGCUCUCACGUAAGUGAGUGCUUUUUUGAAGUGUAAAUAGCUUCAAGAAUAAGAGCUGGGUAAGACCGGUGCCAGCCGCCGCGGUAACACCGGCAGCUCGAGUGGUGAUCACUAUUAUUGGGCCUAAAGCGUCCGUAGCCGGUUUGGUAAGUCCUUGGGCAAAUCCUACCGCUUAACGGUAGGAAUUCUGGGGAUACUGCCAGACUUGAGGCCGAGAGAGGUCGGAGGUACUUCUGGGGUAGCGGUGAAA